RNAcentral lists this ribosomal RNA (279 nucleotides) under uncultured bacterium. Its description in RNAcentral is "partial 16S ribosomal RNA". It matches the Rfam family "Bacterial small subunit ribosomal RNA", at positions 506 to 784 of the family's 1533-position model. The record is from RNAcentral.
UGCCAGCAGCCGCGGUAAUACGGCGGGGGCUAGCGUUGUUCGGAAUUAUUGGGCGUAAAGGGCGCGUAGGCGGCCCGGCAAGUCAGUCGUGAAAUCCCACGGCUCAACCGUGGAACUGCGUUUCAAACCACAAAACUUGAGGGAGACAGGGGUGAGCGGAACUGAUGGUGGAGCGGUGAAAUGCGUUGAUAUUGUCAGGAACACCGGUGGCGAAGGCGGCUCACUGGGUCUCUUCUGACGCUGAGGUACGAAAGCUAGGGUAGCGAACGGGAUUAGAUA